CUACGGGGCGCUGCAGUGAGGAAUUUUGCGCAAUGGGGGAAACCCUGACGCAGCAACGCCGCGUGAGCGAAGAAGGCCCUCGGGUCGUAAAGCUCUGUCAAGUGGGAAAAAAAUCUUUUGAUCAAUAGUCAAAAGACUUGAUGGUACCACUGGAGGAAGCACCGGCUAACUCCGUGCCAGCAGCCGCGGUAAUACGGAGGGUGCAAGCGGUGUUCGGAUUUACUGGGCGUAAAGAGCGUGUAGGCGGUUUAGCAAGUCAGAUGUGAAAGCCCUGGGCUCAACCCGGGAAGUGCAUUUGAAACUGCUUCACUAGAGUAUGGGAGAGGAGAUUGGAAUUCCUGGUGUAGAGGUGAAAUUCGUAGAUAUCAGGAGGAACACCCGUGGCGAAGGCGAUUCUCUGGACCAAUACUGACGCUGAGACGCGAAAGCGUGGGGAGCAAACAGGAUUAGAUACCCUCGUAGUC
This 464-nucleotide ribosomal RNA is filed under the name uncultured bacterium. RNAcentral describes it as "partial 16S ribosomal RNA". It matches the Rfam family "Bacterial small subunit ribosomal RNA", at positions 339 to 795 of the family's 1533-position model. The record is from RNAcentral.